Molecule: ribosomal RNA, 443 nt
Filed under: uncultured bacterium
Lineage: Bacteria
Description: partial 16S ribosomal RNA
Rfam family: Bacterial small subunit ribosomal RNA
Source: RNAcentral
CCUACGGGUGGCUGCAGUGGGGGAUAUUGGACAAUGGGCGCAAGCCUGACCCAGCGACGCCGCGUGAAGGAAGAAGGCUUUCGGGAUGUAAACUUCUUUUCUGAGGGACGAAGAAAGUGACGGUACCUCCGGAAUAAGCCACGGCUAACUACGUGCAAGCAGCCGCGGUAAUACGUAGGUGGCAAGCGUUAUCCGGAUUUAUUGGGUGUAAAGGGCGUGUAGGCGGGAAAGCAAGUCAGAUGUGAAAACUCAGGGCUCAACCCUGAGCCUGCAGUUGAAACUGUUUUGCUUGAGUGCUGGAGAGGCAAUCGGAAUGCCGGGUGUAGCGGUGAAAUGCGUAGAUAUACGGAGGAACACCAGUGGCGAAGGCGGAUUGCUGGACAGUAACUGACGCUGAGGCGCGAAAGCGUGGGGAGCAAACAGGAUUAGAUACCCUAGUAGUC